UGAGCAAUCUUGCAAGCCCUUCCC
This 24-nucleotide non-coding RNA is filed under the name Mus musculus (house mouse). The record is from RNAcentral. Lineage: Eukaryota; Metazoa; Chordata; Mammalia; Rodentia; Muridae.